GACGAACUUUGGCGGCGUGCCUAACACAUGCAAGUCGAACGGAGAAUUUUAUUUCGGUAGAAUUCUUAGUGGCGAACGGGUGAGUAACGCGUAGGCAACCUGCCCUUUAGACGGGGACAACAUUCCGAAAGGAGUGCUAAUACCGGAUGUGAUCAUCGUGCCGCAUGGCAGGAUGAAGAAAGAUGGCCUCUACAAGUAAGCUAUCGCUAAAGGAUGGGCCUGCGUCUGAUUAGCUAGUUGGUAGUGUAACGGACUACCAAGGCGAUGAUCAGUAGCCGGUCUGAGAGGAUGAACGGCCACAUUGGGACUGAGACACGGCCCAAACUCCUACGGGAGGCAGCAGUGGGGAAUCUUCCGCAAUGGACGAAAGUCUGACGGAGCAACGCCGCGUGAGUGAUGAAGGAUUUCGGUCUGUAAAGCUCUGUUGUUUAUGACGAACGUGCAGUGUGUGAACAAUGCAUUGCAAUGACGGUAGUAAACGAGGAAGCCACGGCUAACUACGUGCCAGCAGCCACGGUAAUACGUAGGUGGCGAGCGUUGUCCGGAAUUAUUGGGCGUAAAGAGCAUGUAGGCGGCUUAAUAAGUCGAGCGUGAAAAUGCGGGGCUCAACCCCGUAUGGCGCUGGAAACUGUUAGGCUUGAGUGCAGGAGAGGAAAGGGGAAUUCCCAGUGUAGCGGUGAAAUGCGUAGAUAUUGGGAGGAACACCAGUGGCGAAGGCGCCUUUCUGGACUGUGUCUGACGCUGAGAUGCGAAAGCCAGGGUAGCGAACGGGAUUAGAUACCCCGGUAGUCCUGGCCGUAAACGAUG
This 807-nucleotide ribosomal RNA is filed under the name uncultured bacterium. RNAcentral's name for it is "bacterial SSU rRNA". It matches the Rfam family "Bacterial small subunit ribosomal RNA", at positions 28 to 811 of the family's 1533-position model. The record is from RNAcentral.